This 755-nucleotide ribosomal RNA is filed under the name uncultured Pseudomonas sp. RNAcentral describes it as "bacterial SSU rRNA". It matches the Rfam family "Bacterial small subunit ribosomal RNA", at positions 28 to 776 of the family's 1533-position model. Lineage: Bacteria; Pseudomonadati; Pseudomonadota; Gammaproteobacteria; Pseudomonadales; Pseudomonadaceae. The record is from RNAcentral.
AUUGAACGCUGGCGGCAGGCCUAACACAUGCAAGUUGAGCGGUAGAGAGAAGCUUGCUUCUCUUGAGAGCGGCGGACGGGUGAGUAAUGCCUAGGAAUCUGCCUGGUAGUGGGGGAUAACGUUCGGAAACGGACGCUAAUACCGCAUACGUCCUACGGGAGAAAGCAGGGGACCUUCGGGCCUUGCGCUAUCAGAUGAGCCUAGGUCGGAUUAGCUAGUUGGUGAGGUAAUGGCUCACCAAGGCGACGAUCCGUAACUGGUCUGAGAGGAUGAUCAGUCACACUGGAACUGAGACACGGUCCAGACUCCUACGGGAGGCAGCAGUGGGGAAUAUUGGACAAUGGGCGAAAGCCUGAUCCAGCCAUGCCGCGUGUGUGAAGAAGGUCUUCGGAUUGUAAAGCACUUUAAGUUGGGAGGAAGGGUUGUAGAUUAAUACUCUGCAAUUUUGACGUUACCGACAGAAUAAGCACCGGCUAACUCUGUGCCAGCAGCCGCGGUAAUACAGAGGGUGCAAGCGUUAAUCGGAAUUACUGGGCGUAAAGCGCGCGUAGGUGGUUUGUUAAGUUGGAUGUGAAAUCCCCGGGCUCAACCUGGGAACUGCAUUCAAAAACUGACUGACUAGAGUAUGGUAGAGGGUGGUGGAAUUUCCUGUGUAGUGGUGAAAUGCGUAGAUAUAGGAAGGCACACCAGUGGCGAAGGCGACCACCUGGACUAAUACUGAUCCUGGGGUGCCAAAACCGUGGGGAGAAAACACG